Molecule: ribosomal RNA, 253 nt
Filed under: uncultured bacterium
Lineage: Bacteria
Description: partial 16S ribosomal RNA
Rfam family: Bacterial small subunit ribosomal RNA
Source: RNAcentral
UACGUAGGGUGCGAGCGUUGUCCGGAAUUAUUGGGCGUAAAGAGCUCGUAGGCGGUUUGUCGCGUCGACUGUGAAAACCCGAGGCUUAACCUCGGGCCUGCAGUCGAUACGGGCAGACUAGAGUUCGGUAGGGGAGACUGGAAUUCCUGGUGUAGCGGUGAAAUGCGCAGAUAUCAGGAGGAACACCGGUGGCGAAGGCGGGUCUCUGGGUCGAUACUGACGCUGAGGAGCGAAAGCGUGGGGAGCGAACAGG